Molecule: long non-coding RNA, 205 nt
Organism: Zingiber officinale
Lineage: Eukaryota; Viridiplantae; Streptophyta; Magnoliopsida; Zingiberales; Zingiberaceae
Exons: 3
Source: RefSeq, a predicted model, not a curated record
AGCACUGGUGUGCUUGUGCCGACGAUUACACCUCCUCGGCAGUGUAUUCCUAGCUUCGAUUCAUUAGCCCUGUAGAGGCUCUAUGGUUGAUCUGUGGCAGUAGACAGUGCCACUGUACGGUGCCAGCAAUAUCUUCGGGCAGUGGGUCAUCCAAGGUAGUCGAUAGAUGAUACCAGUACACCGGAGGAGGUUCCCGACUGCCGGU